Molecule: ribosomal RNA, 368 nt
Filed under: Desulfurococcaceae archaeon
Lineage: Archaea; Thermoproteati; Thermoproteota; Thermoprotei; Desulfurococcales; Desulfurococcaceae
Description: bacterial SSU rRNA
Rfam family: Archaeal small subunit ribosomal RNA
Source: RNAcentral
UGCGGCCGCGAUUCCGGUUGAUCCUGCCGGACCCGACCGCUAUCGGGGUGGGGCUAAGCCAUGGGAGUCGUACGCCCCGGAUACCGGGGAGUGGCGGACGGCUGAGUAACACGUGGCUAACCUACCCUCAGGACGGGGAUAACUCCGGGAAACUGGAGCUAAUCCCCGAUAGGUGGUGAGGCCUGGAAGGGUCCACCACCUAAAGGGUCCUACGGGGAUGUCCGUAGGACCGCCUGAGGAUGGGGCCACGGCCCAUCAUGGUUGUUGGCGGGGUAACGGCCCGCCAAGCCGAUAACGGGUAGGGGCCGUGAGAGCGGGAGCCCCCAGAUGGGCACUGAGACAAGGGCCCAGGCCCUACGGGGCGCACC